This 301-nucleotide ribosomal RNA is filed under the name uncultured bacterium. RNAcentral's name for it is "partial 16S ribosomal RNA". It matches the Rfam family "Bacterial small subunit ribosomal RNA", at positions 509 to 807 of the family's 1533-position model. The record is from RNAcentral.
CAGUCGCCGCGGUAAUACGUAGGGUGCGAGCGUUAAUCGGAAUUACUGGGCGUAAAGCGUGCGCAGGCGGUUGUGUAAGACAGGUGUGAAAUCCCCGGGCUUAACCUGGGAACUGCGCUUGUGACUGCACAGCUAGAGUAUGGCAGAGGGUGGUGGAAUUCCACGUGUAGCAGUGAAAUGCGUAGAGAUGUGGAGGAACACCGAUGGCGAAGGCAGCCCCCUGGGCCAAUACUGACGCUCAUGCACGAAAGCGUGGGGAGCAAACAGGAUUAGAUACCCGGGUAGUCCCUGUCUCUUAUAC